RNAcentral lists this ribosomal RNA (253 nucleotides) under uncultured bacterium. RNAcentral's name for it is "partial 16S ribosomal RNA". It matches the Rfam family "Bacterial small subunit ribosomal RNA", at positions 524 to 776 of the family's 1533-position model. The record is from RNAcentral.
UACGGAGGGUGCAAGCGUUGUCCGGAAUUAUUGGGUUUAAAGGGCGCGUAGGCGGCUUUUUAAGUCAGCGGUGAAAGACAACAGCUCAACUGUUGCAGUGCCAUUGAUACUGAAGAGCUUGAGUACAGAUGAGGUAGGCGGAAUUUAUGGUGUAGCGGUGAAAUGCAUAGAUACCAUAAAGAACACCUAUUGCGAAGGCAGCUUACUAAGCUGUAACUGACGCUGAGGCACGAAAGUGUGGGGAUCAAACAGG